This 24-nucleotide non-coding RNA is filed under the name Rattus norvegicus (Norway rat). Lineage: Eukaryota; Metazoa; Chordata; Mammalia; Rodentia; Muridae. The record is from RNAcentral.
CACAAACUUGAGAGCCCAUUGUUC